UUAAUUUUUGUGUAAUUAUAGACUCUUGGCCGGCCCCUUAUAGGAUUUUUUACCUCUGCUCAGGACGAACGCUGGCGGCGUGCUUAACACAUGCAAGUCGAGCGGUAAGGCCUUUCGGGGUACACGAGCGGCGAACGGGUGAGUAACACGUGGGUGAUCUGCCCUGCACUUCGGGAUAAGCCUGGGAAACUGGGUCUAAUACCGGAUAUGACCUCCUAUCGCAUGGUGGGUGGUGGAAAGAUUUAUCGGUGCAGGAUGGGCCCGCGGCCUAUCAGCUUGUUGGUGGGGUAAUGGCCUACCAAGGCGACGACGGGUAGCCGACCUGAGAGGGUGACCGGCCACACUGGGACUGAGACACGGCCCAGACUCCUACGGGAGGCAGCAGUGGGGAAUAUUGCACAAUGGGCGAAAGCCUGAUGCAGCGACGCCGCGUGAGGGAUGACGGCCUUCGGGUUGUAAACCUCUUUCAGCAGGGACGAAGCGCAAGUGACGGUACCUGCAGAAGAAGCACCGGCUAACUACGUGCCAGCAGCCGCGGUAAUACGUAGGGUGCAAGCGUUGUCCGGAAUUACUGGGCGUAAAGAGUUCGUAGGCGGUUUGUCGCGUCGUUUGUGAAAACCAGCAGCUCAACUGCUGGCUUGCAGGCGAUACGGGCAGACUUGAGUACUGCAGGGGAGACUGGAAUUCCUGGUGUAGCGGUGAAAUGCGCAGAUAUCAGGAGGAACACCGGUGGCGAAGGCGGGUCUCUGGGCAGUAACUGACGCUGAGGAACGAAAGCGUGGGUAGCGAACAGGAUUAGAUACCCUGGUAGUCCACGCCGUAAACGGUGGGCGCUAGGUGUGGGUUCCUUCCACGGAAUCCGUGCCGUAGCUAACGCAUUAAGCGCCCCUUCUUGGAGACCCCAAACCUC
Molecule: ribosomal RNA, 910 nt
Filed under: Rhodococcus erythropolis
Lineage: Bacteria; Bacillati; Actinomycetota; Actinomycetes; Mycobacteriales; Nocardiaceae
Description: bacterial SSU rRNA
Rfam family: Bacterial small subunit ribosomal RNA
Source: RNAcentral